UGGGGAAUUUUGCGCAAUGGGCGAAAGCCUGACGCAGCAACGCCGCGUGGGUGAUGAAGGUCUUCGGAUCGUAAAACCCUGUCGUCAGGGACGAAGGUCGGGGUGUGAACAGCGCCUUGGCUUGACGGUACCUGGAGAGGAAGCCCCGGCUAACUCUGUGCCAGCGACGCCGACGGUAAU
RNAcentral lists this ribosomal RNA (180 nucleotides) under uncultured Acidobacteriota bacterium. RNAcentral's name for it is "uncultured Acidobacteria bacterium partial 16S ribosomal RNA". It matches the Rfam family "Bacterial small subunit ribosomal RNA", at positions 355 to 524 of the family's 1533-position model. The record is from RNAcentral. Lineage: Bacteria; Pseudomonadati; Acidobacteriota.